This 29-nucleotide non-coding RNA is filed under the name Homo sapiens (human). The record is from RNAcentral. Lineage: Eukaryota; Metazoa; Chordata; Mammalia; Primates; Hominidae.
AGGAAGUCUGAAAAGAAUGCCCAGUAAUA